Molecule: ribosomal RNA, 454 nt
Filed under: uncultured Comamonadaceae bacterium
Lineage: Bacteria; Pseudomonadati; Pseudomonadota; Betaproteobacteria; Burkholderiales; Comamonadaceae
Description: bacterial SSU rRNA
Rfam family: Bacterial small subunit ribosomal RNA
Source: RNAcentral
CACAAGCGGUGGAUGAUGUGGACUAAUUCGAUGCAACGCGAAAACCUUUACCUACCCUUGACAUUGUCCGGAAUCCUGCAGAGGUGCGGGAGUGCCCGAAAGGGAAUCGGAACACAGGUGCUGCAUGGCUGUCGUCAGCUCGUGUCGUGAGAUGUUGGGUUAAGUCCCGCAACGAGCGCAACCCUUAUCAUUAGUUGCUACGCAAGGGCACUCUAAUGAGACUGCCGGUGACAAACCGGAGGAAGUGGGGAUGACGUCAAGUCCUCAUGGCCCUUAUGGGUAGGGCUUCACACGUCAUACAAUGGAUGGUACAAAGGGUCGCCAACCCGCGAGGGGGAGCCAAUCCCAUAAAGCCAUUCGUAGUCCGGAUCGCAGUCUGCAACUCGACUGCGUGAAGUCGGAAUCGCUAGUAAUCGUGGAUCAGAAUGUCACGGUGAAUACGUUCCCGGGUCUU